AGUUCACGAGGUGCAUGCGGUUGCUUGCAUUAAACGUAUAAACUGUUAAAUUAGAUGGCGACUCUGCAUUAAACGUAUUUAUUUAAUUAAUCGGCGAUCAUAUUUUACCAGAGGACUAAGAUAAAACAACUCGAUUUAAAAUUUGAGCAGUUUUAGUGGAUCUGACGUCGAGGGAAAAAGUAUUUCGCUUUUUGUUUGGAGAUGAACGAGACAACACGAGGCACAGCGACAUAAAUAUGACCAACCAGAUCCCAAGUAGACAGGAACAAAUGAAGAUACAGCGCAUAGAAAGACUUAUUCUUGGUGAUCAACUGCUAUUGAAAUUUUUGAAUCGGGACAAAUGUGGAGUGAUUCGGAAGAAAAACGUUUGCAACACAUCCAUUCCAGAGUGCUCUGACAGAUAAAACUGACACACUUGAUGAGGACACAGUCAAAGCUUUAAAGGCACACAAGGCAAGUCUGAGUAUUAUUUCUCUACUAGCUCCCCCUAGUGUCUGGGAGUAAAUGCGUUCUAUAUCUAAGACUAUACGAGACUGAAGGACACCGGGUCGGAUACAGCGAACUUGCAAGUGGGGUAUUCUUCCUACAGACGGUAGGGGCGGGCGAGAGAGUCUUCAUUCGUCAUCUAAUGAGUCAUUUAACCAUAUACCGACUUACGAAGAUGAUUUAUUAACAUAAAAAUGCUGC
Molecule: non-coding RNA, 687 nt
Organism: Paramisgurnus dabryanus
Lineage: Eukaryota; Metazoa; Chordata; Actinopteri; Cypriniformes; Cobitidae
Source: RefSeq, a predicted model, not a curated record